This 1221-nucleotide long non-coding RNA is filed under the name Macaca mulatta (Rhesus monkey). RNAcentral's name for it is "lncRNA (ENSMMUG00000057495.1)". The record is from RNAcentral. Lineage: Eukaryota; Metazoa; Chordata; Mammalia; Primates; Cercopithecidae.
CACAAUUCUAUAUUCUUCAAUGGAAUUUUGCCUCAAUAAUGUCCACCAUCUGGUGUCAUCCAAAGGGCCAUAAUAUUUUUAAGUUUGUAGGUCUGAAAUCUCCAAACCUGCAUCAAAUUCAAGAAACCCUUCUAGACAACUUUUCAGAUGAAUCAUUGGCAAGGUAUUCUCAACACUUUUGAAACCCACCUGUGUUUACGAUCUAAAAAGUUAAAGCUCUCCCUGUGGACUAUGCAACAUCACCCCCUGUGGCAUCUUUUCCCUGUAAGAGAAAUGUGCCCAGCUUAUUUUAAAAUCCCUUCGUGUUACAUCAGUCUUCCCCAACGAGGGUACAUAACUGCAAAGAGGGUUAACUCAAUGAUCCAAUGACAAAAUCCAAUGCAAAUUAAGUAUAAAAAAGAAGGUGAGAUAAACAACACACAACCUCAAUUAAAGCAAUAAUGAUUGUUCUUUUAAAUUUCUUUUUGUAGAAUAUUCACUUUAGGAUUUAGUAAUAGCUGUCACCUAUAAACAAUUACUUGAUUCCUAUGUCUUGCUCAGCAAAUCUCCUGCCAUGUGCCAGUUCCUUGGAGUACAGAUGUAAAUACCCACCAAGGAUUAGGCAAACUUCCUUUGCAUAAAACUUGACCAUCUCUGACAGAAGUCACCAAUCUUCAGACGUAAACCACAGACUUCAACUGUGUAAAAAACACUUUUAAAAAAUACACACUUUGAUAUUCUAGUAUUUGCAAAUCAUGAUAUAUCGGUUUUUUAACUUUAUCGCUAUUAUAAAUACAAACGUCAAGAUGUUUAUUUUGAAAAUAAAUCCAGAGCAUACUACUUAUACCAGAGUCCACUACCAUGUCCUGUGAGUAGCAUGAACAUUAGCGGGUAAAAUUUUCUAUUUGAAGCAAAUAUAGAUGUCAUUGUAUGCAAUUGUGAACAUCUGAAAAAAAUCUAUGUAUGCUAUACAUAAUCAACCUGUUUAGGAUUGAAGGCCAAGUUUUUUCAAAAAUUUUAACUCUGUGAAAUAAAGUUUUAAAAACUAAUGGGUUACACCUUAGCCCAGUUUUGCAAACCACACAUGCCUAUGUGGAAAUGCAGCAGCUACCAGUGAAUAUUUUUAUUUUAGCCAAGAGAUAAGCUAAUCCCAACUCUCUUCAAUCUAUCUACUAUAUACUAUACAAUAGGUGUCUCUUAAAGCUCUAUUAAAAAAAAAAAGUUUAUAUGUUAGCUUUUUUU